RNAcentral lists this unclassified non-coding RNA (1175 nucleotides) under Hevea brasiliensis (rubber tree). Lineage: Eukaryota; Viridiplantae; Streptophyta; Magnoliopsida; Malpighiales; Euphorbiaceae. The record is from RNAcentral.
AAAAAUAGAAUCACUUGAAUCCCAUGAUGAGUGGCUUGUACAAUUUAAUUAUUUGUGGGAUUCCAUUACAGCCCAUAUACCACGAGCAACACAAGCAACUUGAAAGUUUGUGAAGCCAGCUGCCCUGAUCAAGGCCUCAAAUUCCCUUGCUGUCCUCUCUUUGCCUGAAUGAUGAGUUAACAUGGUAAUAUCAAUUCUUGAAACAAACUGGGAAGCCUUGCUUUUCUCUGGUUCUUCUGGCAAUAAUGCAUUCAUCACUAUAAGUUUCCCAUUAUUUGGCAGCGCCUCAUAAAUGUUCUUCAUUACUCUUACCACGUUUUCAUCAUUCCAGUUGUGGCAUGUAUCCUUUAUCAUAAUUGCUUCUCCUUUAGGAACGCUUGUGAACAUAUUUCCUCCUACAUGCUGGACUCCAGGAUAAGGUGGUGCACUUUGGGUCACAUGAGGCAGAUCAUAGUUGAUGCCUUUGAUGGAAGGGUACUUAGAGAUGAUCAUAUUGAGAGUCCUGCCAGUGCCACCGCCAACAUCAACCAGUGAAGUGAGUCCCUCGAAUCCUUUGUAUAUCGCAAGAAUUUCAUUCAUUGAGAAUUUAGUGAGACCAGCAAUUGCUUGAUUGAAGAUGGUGUUGAAUUCUGGAUCUUUAUUCAUGUACUCGAACAUAGACAUCCCAUGAACUUUCUUAAACAGAUCUCCACCUUCAAGAAUUGCAUCCUUCAUAUGUAACCAAACCUCCAAGGUGGCUCUGUGAUAGGCAAAAGCAGAAAACGGGGCGAAAGAGCCUUCUUCUACAGUGCCAAGAAAGAAUUUACAGGCAGGCGUGAGCCCAUAAAGCUUUUCAAUCCUACCAUCUUCGAGGGUUCGUGAGGAGUAAGAGAGAAGGGAGUGAGUGGCGAAGAGACGCAACAUACGGUCAAGCAUAGAAGGGGCCUCAGGAUUUGAUGUGGGAAGCUGAGCGGCAAUCUCAGAAGCUGAAACAUAAGCUCCAGGGCCUGCUUUGGCUAUGAUGUCAAAGAGAUUUAGCUCGAUAGCUGUGCGAAGGACCAGAGGAAAGACACGAGAGCUAGAGAAUAUCAUGGCAUCAAGACAUGCUUCCUCUUCUUGAUAACUUUCUAUGGAGCCCAUACUUGUGGCUAAGGCUCUGUUUAUUUCGUUCCUGGUUCUGAUGCUGUGGCUUUUUU